GCCAAGGAAAACAGCAUUUCAGGGCUGCACGUUCCGUACACAUUGCAGGCCGAGGGGCGACAAGGGUUCGUCGCCAGGCAAGUUCUUGCGCCAUGAAGCUCGCUCCUUCGCUCCUUCUGUGGUUAAUGUAUAAUCUGCCUGAAGUUGAUACGGUUGAGGGAUGCUGGGCGGAUAUUGCUGGCCUGAGUAUCACUGGCGGAGCCCUGUGAGGUUCACACUCGCACAUGUAGGAGCCCAAGUGCUGUGGCGCAAACCCCUGGCUUGGUGUUUAUUAUGGCCAAGGAAGGAGCAGCAUGUAGGCCCGACCUAGUGCUUAUGUGCUGAGCCAAGGCUGGAUGUGGACGUGUUGGGCGAUUGGCAGAAUCCUGGAGUAGUCGGAGUGUGCGUAAGAGGGGGAUGACGUGUUUAGUGGUGUUUUGAUUACCGUCGUGGCAGGGGGCAAUGAUAUCUAAUACAUUCCCUUUAUGAUGAAGCGUCGAAAUGGGAGCGUUUCGCGGUGCAUUGUCGUCCCGUGUAUGCAUCCCUAACAAGGGUUCAGGCGAGUUGAUGAAGCAGCCGUAGUGCUUCCUUUUAGGAGUUGCAGCGGUGGGGUGAGGAUCAGGGCUGCGUUUGCGCAUGGACUGCUGUAUGGCAUUUGCUGUUUCUCAUGCAUCAGUUUUUGCUUGUGAUGGAGGUAGUGCUAUGUACAUGAUGGUUUCACCACUCCUCGUACGUCUGUGAAGGUUUGAAGGUAUAAUGUGGUGGUAAGCUAAAUCGCCGAGUACGGCAUGCUGCGUUGAAUCACCUUAUUCUAUUUCAUCGUUGGGAUUUGCCCGGCCNNNNNNNNNNNNNNNNNNNNNNNNNNNNNNNNNNNNNNNNNNNNNNNNNNAUCUUCUCACUCCAACCCUGUUCAUGUGGGUUGGACACAAGCUGCACAAGGAGCUCUCCGUCCUUGGUCAGGCCGUUAUAUCCCACCUUGACCAGACCGUUGAUGAACAGCGGCCGGAUGGGUCUCCCCAUACAGUACUCAUCCUCGGCAAGGUCCAGCCACUUCUUCAGCUCAGCUAUCUGCCUGCCCUUGGGGUCCAGGAAGAACAUGCUGUUCACGCCAGCACUUGUGGCAGCUGCAGCACUGACAGUGUCCAUGGGCUCAAAGAAGAACAGGUCCUGGUUCUGCGAGUCUUGCCGGAGCUGCAGCUUGCAAGCUGGCAGGCCUGCAGAAGGAUAGCCCAUCAUGCCCACAAGGCGCAUACACAUUAAACAACCAGCCGCUGUCACCCAGUUGCAAUGCAUGCAGGAUCACAACGAAGGGGUGCAGAGCAGCAAAGUGACGAAGCAACUUCAAGCUGAAUCAAGCCAGAAGUCACACCCCUCAGUAGCAAGAGGGUGUAUGUCAUGCAGAACACUGAACCGCCCCUUUAUGGUAGAGAAAGAGUGUGCUGUCACACAGGGCUGCACAAUCGCAGGCCCAACAGGCUGGAACGUGUAACUGCCGAGAGUGCUUCCAGGCGUGGGGGCACGUCCAAAAUUGGUUGUAGCAGCUGUUGGAAAUAUGCCUCUGACAUGUCCUCCCCUGCAUGUAUUUGAGAUCAGAAUUAGCUCGGCAAAAUGCACACAUAGAUGGAAUACAGAGGAAACAUAUGCUUCUUCACAACAGCACAGAGAGUGGACGGCCAUGUCCGUGCCCCCCGUCGCUAGCACCCCGUGAUCCAGCCAACUUGGCAGCUGGACUUGCUAGUCAGUACGGCCAGUCGCCCAGUUGAAAUGCAUGCAGGAUCUUAUUAACGCAACCAACGCGGGAACGAACGGGUACAGAGCAGCAGCAGAAAGGGACGGACGGAACAACUUCCAGCUGACUUGCAGUACAGCAUAGGCGCCGGGGCCCAGGCCCGCGCUGCAGCCCAUGCACCCACCGUGCCAUGCCCGGGCGAGCGCCCCGCCCACCCACCCCAACCUGCCUACAGCUGGCGCGCUCUAUGCGAGCUCCCCUGGGGCGGGUGUUGGGCGGGUGCUGGGGCCAGGCCCGCCACCCGCCAGCCGCCCCUUGCCGCCUCUUACAGCUCCCAGCACGCACCCAACACGAGUGGGCGCAACCAGCUCACCCCACAGCCCCAAGCAACGACCCACCCGCCCCACCGCGCGACGGCCUCGCUGCUGCCCUUCCGAUAUAGAGGCCAGCACCCCCAGCAACGGCCUCUGCACCCCCGGCAAAGGCCCGCUUCUUUCCUUGCUUCCGUAGCGGGGGGCAGACGAGCCUCGAAUUGGCCUCACCCGUCUUAAUGCCAUAAGCGUUCAGCCAAACCCCAAUCGUUCCCCCUGAGGAUCGGUUCCCUUCCCACGAGCGCCAGGCCUAGUGGCCCUGCAAUGCAGAUGGGGUCUCACCGUCAGCUGCCGUGCUCCCGGGGCCCGGCCCUGCCGCCGCGCCUGCAUGACGAGAACGUCACAUGUAUGCAGGUCAGGAUUAUUGCACAUCAAGCUGUAUCCUGAAGAGACAGAGGCGGUGGUUGCGCAAUCGGGGAUUCAAUCGCAACAUGCCGGAAUGCUUCACAUGGGGCUGGUGCGCUCCGAACUCAGAACUACAAAUGUGCGGUUGCUCACCCUACAGCCUCUUGAAAUGAUCACCAGCAGCAGCGCUGUUCACGAUAGCUCAAACACUUCCGUACUACACCGCCGCGGGACCCCAGAGCCGGAGUCUUAGCUCAGGUCAAGCCUGGGCUAGCACAACCAACUCACCGGCUCCAGCCGCGCUCCCCGCACCGAGGCCAGCCGCCGAGGCUGCAGGACAUGGGAGCGGUCGGGGGACCCAUGUAGAUUACGAGUUGUUUCAAGCUUCAGGCACGAGAACCCUCCCACUCAGCCAGCGACGCAGAGCCUCCCGACACACCAAUCAAGCCUUCUCAGCUCCCAGUGCAUGACCUACUUUUACGGAUAAGCACAUCCACGAGCUUCAGCUGUUUGGCCGCUGUGCUACCGCGAAUUAGCACACGUUCCAGAUUCGUGGCCUUGCUCAAUGCUUCUGCAGCGGCCAGCUGCCACACCUCGUCCUUAUUAAAUGCUUCUGAAAGAUGGACAAUCAGCUGGGCCUCCUGGGCCUCCUGGUCCAUGGCUUGCGCUUGUGGCGCGCUAGCGACAGGGAACGAGCCGAAACGGAAACCUGCGUAAACGGAAACCUGCGUAAAUAGGUUUCGUCACGCUUUCCGCAGCGAAGCCCAGAUUGGCGGAAAUGCGGAAAGAGAAUCCGCAUUUCCGCAUUUGCUGUACGGCGGAAAUUCAAAAGCAGAUUCUAGGCAUGCGUUUGCCAUUUACAGACUGCGUUUUACACUAAGGAGUUGUUAGAUUAAGUCAAAUGUCAACAACCACUGGCUCCGACCUGGGGGGUGCCGAAGUCAUAGAGAUUGACUGUGUUUCUGCUCAGAAGAAGGGUGGAAGGCCCGUUGACGACGUUUGGAAACAUUUUGAUAGAGGUCCUUACGACAAGAGUAAGAAUUGUUAUGCCACCUGCAAGCGCUGCCGUCGCCACUGGAAACGGGCGCGCCUUCCUGAAAUCCGGUUACACCUUGCCAAGGAGUGCACUGCCAUUGCGCCUGAAUUUAUUUUGAAUUCAUAUUGUUUGGGCGGGUUUGGAUUCAUGUACAUUCAGCAUACACUUAAGACUUGCAGACAUGCCGGACGGGUAUGUGGAGUAGGCAUGCAGACAUGUCGCUGCUCCGCAACGGACAGGGAGACGAUUAUUAUUCAGUGUUUCAGGGCUCCCCGGGCUCUUACCCCAUGUAACAUACGAGUGGCAAUUUCUGAGCAUCCCAGAGCAAUCCGUCAGCCAACAACACUAUGGGGGUGAUAUACGAUAGGGCUGCUCAGGCCUGGGGUCUCAGGGUUCAAAGAGAGGCGGGCUGCUUGAAGGGGGCAGGGUGAACACCGUCAAGGGUGUGGGCACACAAUAGUUGAUCGCUGGGCCCCCGCCACCCCCAGUAAUACGUUUAGAUGGCUCUACCUUACCCCAUGUAACAUACGAGUGGCAAAAUCUGAGCAUCCCAGAGCAAUCCGUCAGCCAACAACACUAUGGGGGUGGUAUACGAUAGGGCUGCUCAGGCCUGGGGUCUCAGGGUUCAAAGAGAGGCGGGCUGCUUGAAGGGGGCAGAGUGAACACCGUCAAGGGUGUGGGCACACAAUAGUUGAUCGCUGGGCCCCCGCCACUCCAGUAAUACGUUUAGAUGGCUCUACCUUCGAGCACGAUUGGAAUCCACCAGAUUCUAGAUCCCACCGGACAGAACCGCACUGCCACAAGAUGGUUUCAGACUGUCCAAGUUAUCGCCACACUGAGAAGAGCCAGAAAACAUCGUUACAUAUUCAUUUUAUAGUUUUCGCAGGUUUCCGCAGUUUCCGCAGCCUUUCCGCAAAGCGCCUCCCGAUUACGAAAAGUUUACGCAGACCUGGUCAAGUUUCGGCUCGUUCCCUGGCUAGCGACACGGUAAAGUACCGUACUGAUACGAAAGGUUCGCUCCACACCUUUCGUUUUGGGCCACGAAGUGUGUCACAGUGGAAAAAGCUCUAUGGAGAAAAUUAUUUACUUGUCGCGAAAAUGUGUGGCACGAAUGUGUUGUACGCCGUGUACAUGGUGUAGAACAGCCAGAACUGAGUUCUUACACGCCAGAACUGAAUUUUUCAUAUAGUUAUAGCUUCCUUUUAUUGUAACUGUUGUUUGCUGGACAUCCUGGCACGCUACGUGACAAUGCGUUGACCAUGAAGCCCAGACGACCCAAGCAAACCAAGCAAACCAAGCUCACAGCCAUGAAGCUCGCUCCUUCGCUCCUUCUGUGGUUAAUGUAUAAUCUGCCUGAAGUUGAUACGGUUGAGGGAUGCUGGGCGGAUAUUGCUGGCCUGAGUAUCACUGGCGGAGCCCUGUGAGGUUCACACUCGCACAUGUAGGAGCCCAAGUGCUGUGGCGCAAACCCCUGGCUUGGUGUUUAUUAUGGCCAAGGAAGGAGCAGCAUGUAGGCCCGACCUAGU
Molecule: long non-coding RNA, 4986 nt
Filed under: Volvox carteri
Lineage: Eukaryota; Viridiplantae; Chlorophyta; Chlorophyceae; Chlamydomonadales; Volvocaceae
Description: long non-coding RNA (VCAR_LNC002738)
Source: RNAcentral